GGUUACUUAUGGUAUUGUAG
This 20-nucleotide small nuclear RNA is filed under the name Arabidopsis thaliana (thale cress). Its description in RNAcentral is "snRNA_06334". Lineage: Eukaryota; Viridiplantae; Streptophyta; Magnoliopsida; Brassicales; Brassicaceae. The record is from RNAcentral.